GGGUAUCGUCGGAUUUGCAGGAUGGACUCAAGAGCAGGAGGAUCAAAAUGGGAAUGCAAAUGGUCAUAUGGCGUCUCUUUGUCUGCCUUGCCUUGUGCCACUGCCAAGUGAAGAAAUAGAACGCGCGCCGGGAUGGAAUACAUCAUGUCAAAGUCUGGAAUUAAUUGAGAAGAGGAGUACUACUGAUGGAUAAAGACAACACGGUCGACCUAGGCCAUAGCAGGGAUGACCGGGCGACCGGCCGGCCGGAUCCCGGAGAGCUGAUUCAGUCUCCAGCGACGGUGCUGCACGCGCAAAGAAGAAUCGUCACUACACAACUUGGGCCGAUCUCACGACUUUACAAGUUACGGCAGACUCCGGACUUCAGAUAUUUUCCCGUUCUGCAGAACAUGCUGUCCACCGUCGAGGUAUCCAUGGAAUCGAACCGAACCCCAGGGGUUUGGGGGAGUGGUUUCUUAUUUUCUUCUUGGAAGGGUCGUGAGCGCUCAAUAUGGGCCGGUCCUCCUGGGCUUUUGGCCCGUAAGCACUUCAGCGAAGGCACGGGAGCAGGUAGUAUAGGCCCAAGGCCCGAAGGGUGAGACAUUACGAGAACGGCAGGGACGACGACGAACGGCCUGAAUGUCCCGGGGGCGGGGGCGGCUCGGCCCGUCGUCUGCGUCAGCCAGACAGCCAAUGCGGCGCCCCGCCGGUCAGCUCGAGCAGUGGCAAUGGCGGGUCGCCGCGGUAACGCCGGCAACCACCAAUACGGCGCCCUGGCUGAGGCGCAUAGGCCCCGGAGGUAGGGGCCUGCUCAGGCUGCGGUGGCGCAAUGGCAGUCGCGCGCGGGAGCAAAUGCGGGAAAGGACGAGCCGGCGUUCCGGCCGUGCUCUGGCGUCGUCACUCGUCAGAUCCCCUGAACCCAUGCCAUCCGAGGAGAUUCCACUCCAGGAUCUCCAAUUCUCCAUGGUCCCGGUCUUGAGCCCAGGUACCGGUUCACUUUUGGAUUGCUGUUCAAAACUUCAAACCUUAAUUUCGCAGCAUUAUUUGGUUCAGGUGCGACUGUACAGUUUAUAUUUCUUUUUGAUGAAUCGAUGGCGUGUGACAUGGUUAUAGGAAUUGAUGAUGAUUAAACAGA
Long non-coding RNA from Brachypodium distachyon (stiff brome), 1114 nucleotides. RefSeq lists it as uncharacterized. The transcript is spliced from 2 exons. Lineage: Eukaryota; Viridiplantae; Streptophyta; Magnoliopsida; Poales; Poaceae. The record is from RefSeq and is a predicted model, not a curated record.